CAAGUAAGACAGAUAGUCGCUUUCGCGUUUUAAGGCGCGGGAGAGGAAAGUCCGGGCGCUCCCUUGAUUUUUAAUCAAGGAGCAGGGUAGCGGGUAACGCCCGUCGGUCGCGAGGUUAGAGUUGCGAACAGAGACGCCAAAGCCCGAAAGGGUUGAGGCGCCGAGCGUUAUUUUGGCGCUUGGCGAGUCCUGAUAGAAAUAUCAGGGGUGAAACGGCUAAAUACUUACCCGGGCGCAAGAGCAAACCUAAUCAGGGUCUUUUUUAUGAUUCUUGAUUAGUGAAAAGUAGCUCGCUUGAGCCCAAUGGUAACAUUAGGCCCAGAUAGAUGACUAUCAUUUCCCGCCACUUUUAUAAAAAGCGGCGGGGACUACAGAACCCGGCUUAUAACUUACUUGUCCC
This 400-nucleotide RNase P RNA is filed under the name Candidatus Portnoybacteria bacterium RBG_13_40_8. RNAcentral describes it as "RNase P RNA component class A". It matches the Rfam family "Bacterial RNase P class A". Rfam says of the family: Ribonuclease P (RNase P) is a ubiquitous endoribonuclease, found in archaea, bacteria and eukarya as well as chloroplasts and mitochondria. The record is from RNAcentral. Lineage: Bacteria; Candidatus Portnoyibacteriota. RNAcentral also lists the same sequence under 4 other names.